This 1062-nucleotide small RNA is filed under the name uncultured fungus. RNAcentral's name for it is "eukaryotic LSU rRNA". The stretch from base 628 to 1062 matches the Rfam family "Eukaryotic large subunit ribosomal RNA", at positions 1 to 429 of the family's 3401-position model. The record is from RNAcentral. Lineage: Eukaryota; Fungi.
UCCGUAGGUGAACCUGCGGAAGGAUCAUUAAUGAAUUUUGGAGUUCUACUGUGCCUGCCGUUCAUUUGGAUGUGUGCACGUAGUCUCUAUAAAUCCUUAUCAACACCUGUGCACCUUUAAAAAGGGGAAACUGAUUAAGCUUUUUACGGGCUUAUGAGGAAUAACCUUUUUUCUUAUACAAACUCUUAAUGUCUAUUAGAAUGUUCUCUGGCCGCAAGGCUAUAAAAUAUAAACAACUUUUAACAACGGAUCUCUUGGCUCUCGCAUCGAUGAAGAACGCAGCGAAAUGCGAUAAGUAAUGUGAAUUGCAGAAUUCAGUGAAUCAUCGAAUCUUUGAACGCACCUUGCACUCCUUGGUAUUCCGAGGAGUACGCCUGUUCGAGUGUUAUGAAGCUCUCAAAACGCAAUUGGCUUAAAACCUGAUUGUUGUUUUGGAUUUGAACUUUGCCGUGUUAUAACGGCUGGUUUUAAAAGUAUUAGCUGGUACUAGAACGAAUUGGUUCUACUCAACGUGAUAAUUAUCUGAUCGUUGAGGACAUUCCUUUCACGAGGAAUGGCCAUAGUAAAUUCAAUGGACUGCUUCUAAUCUGGCUUUAAUUCUUUAUUGGAUUAACCACUUUUCAAAUCUGACCUCGAAUCAGGUGGGACUACCCGCUGAACUUAAGCAUAUCAAUAAGCGGAGGAAAAGAAACUAACAAGGAUUCCCCUAGUAACGGCGAGUGAAGCGGGAUGAGCUCAAAUUUAAAAUCUGAUAGUCUUUGGCUGUCCGAGUUGUAAUCUAGAGAAGUGUUUUCCGCGUUGGACCAUGUACAAGUUUCCUGGAACGGAACGUCAUAGAGGGUGAGAAUCCCGUCCUUGACAUGGACUACCAGUGCUUUGUGAUACACUCUCAACGAGUCGAGUUGUUUGGGAUUGCAGCUCAAAAUGGGAGGUAAAUUCCUUCUAAAGCUAAAUAUUGGCGAGAGACCGAUAGCGAACAAGUACCGUGAGGGAAAGAUGAAAAGCACUUUGGAAAGAGAGUUAAACAGUACGUGAAAUUGUUAAAAGGGAAACGCUUGAAGU